Molecule: ribosomal RNA, 463 nt
Filed under: uncultured bacterium
Lineage: Bacteria
Description: partial 16S ribosomal RNA
Rfam family: Bacterial small subunit ribosomal RNA
Source: RNAcentral
GAUGAACGCUGACAGAAUGCUUAACACAUGCAAGUCUUUGGUGAAGCUGUGCUUGCACAGCCUAGCCAAGGCGGACGGGUGAGUAACGCGUAAGGAACUUGCCCUGCAGUCAGGGAUAACAGACGGAAACGACUGAUAAGACCUGGUAAAGUCAGGCGGACUCAUGUCCAGCCUGAUGAAAAGAGAUGCUGCAGGAGAGCCUUGCGCCCUAUUAGCUUGUUGGUGGGGUAACGGCCCACCAAGGCAAUGAUAGGUAGCCGGCCUGAGAGGGUGGACGGCCACAAGGGGACUGAGAUACGGCCCUUACUCCUACGGGAGGCAGCAGUGGGGAAUAUUGGACAAUGGGGGCAACCCUGAUCCAGCAAUUCUGUGUGCACGAUGAAGGUUUUCGGAUUGUAAAGUGCUUUCAGCAGGGAAGAAAAAAAUGACGGUACCUGCAGAAGAAGCGACGGCUAAAUACGUG